RNAcentral lists this ribosomal RNA (460 nucleotides) under Alternaria alternata. RNAcentral describes it as "eukaryotic LSU rRNA". The stretch from base 143 to 296 matches the Rfam family "5.8S ribosomal RNA". Lineage: Eukaryota; Fungi; Ascomycota; Dothideomycetes; Pleosporales; Pleosporaceae. The record is from RNAcentral.
ACCUCUCGGGGUUACAGCCUUGCUGAAUUAUUCACCCUUGUCUUUUGCGUACUUCUUGUUUCCUUGGUGGGUUCGCCCACCACUAGGACAAACAUAAACCUUUUGUAAUUGCAAUCAGCGUCAGUAACAAAUUAAUAAUUACAACUUUCAACAACGGAUCUCUUGGUUCUGGCAUCGAUGAAGAACGCAGCGAAAUGCGAUAAGUAGUGUGAAUUGCAGAAUUCAGUGAAUCAUCGAAUCUUUGAACGCACAUUGCGCCCUUUGGUAUUCCAAAGGGCAUGCCUGUUCGAGCGUCAUUUGUACCCUCAAGCUUUGCUUGGUGUUGGGCGUCUUGUCUCUAGCUUUGCUGGAGACUCGCCUUAAAGUAAUUGGCAGCCGGCCUACUGGUUUCGGAGCGCAGCACAAGUCGCACUCUCUAUCAGCAAAGGUCUAGCAUCCAUUAAGCCUUUUUUUCAACUUU